CAACGGCACCUGAACACGCCGUCGUCUGGUCAAAGGCCUGUCCCCCGCCGAAGCCAGAUGUGAGGACAAAGGCCUAUCCCCCCUCUCCGGGCCUUUGUCCAAUUCUCACAAGACCGCCGUGGCUCCGCCUCCGCCACGGCGGUUUUUG
Molecule: non-coding RNA, 148 nt
Organism: Rhizobium sp. Leaf453
Lineage: Bacteria; Pseudomonadati; Pseudomonadota; Alphaproteobacteria; Hyphomicrobiales; Rhizobiaceae
Source: Rfam